CAGUAGCCGCGGUAAUACGUAGGUCCCGAGCGUUGUCCGGAUUUAUUGGGCGUAAAGCGAGCGCAGGCGGUUAGAUAAGUCUGAAGUUAAAGGCUGUGGCUUAACCAUAGUACGCUUUGGAAACUGUUUAACUUGAGUGCAAGAGGGGAGAGUGGAAUUCCAUGUGUAACGGUGAAAUGCGUAGAUAUAUGGAGGAACACCGGUGGCGAAAGCGGCUCUCUGGCUUGUAACUGACGCUGAGGCUCGAAAGCGUGGGGAGCAAACAGGAUUAGAUACCCCCGUAGUCCCUGUCUCUUAUACA
This 301-nucleotide ribosomal RNA is filed under the name uncultured bacterium. RNAcentral's name for it is "partial 16S ribosomal RNA". It matches the Rfam family "Bacterial small subunit ribosomal RNA", at positions 509 to 808 of the family's 1533-position model. The record is from RNAcentral.